AUGGCCCUUGCCGCAAGACGGCACGGGGAGGAGGCGGAACGUGAUGGCUGGGUUGGCGGUGGAGAGGCGAGCCAUUGCGUCUUCCGACACGGCGUCCUUGUCCGGCGGGUUCACGACGGCAAUGACGACGGUCUGCCCGCGGCGGAGGAGACCUUAGCCAGCUCCACCAUGGGGUUGAGGUGGCCCACGCCGAGCGAGGGAUAG
This 204-nucleotide ribosomal RNA is filed under the name Triticum aestivum (bread wheat). RNAcentral's name for it is "partial small subunit ribosomal RNA". Lineage: Eukaryota; Viridiplantae; Streptophyta; Magnoliopsida; Poales; Poaceae. The record is from RNAcentral.